UCUACCCUACUCUAAAUUAGGAAACAAAAAAAAAAUACAACUUAUGAAAGGGAAAAGGGGACUGGUCAUUUUCUACAGCUCAAACCCUAGACUAGGAAAGGGGAUCAUAUUUUUGCAUCAGCAUUUCGUGCUCCAGCUUCGGGAACCUUCACCAACAACAUGAAACGCCUCAAUUUGUACAACACAAUUUCAGUAUAUUUCAUAUCGAAUGUUAAUUAGUCUCACUAACAUCAUGAAAUCAUCAUAAUCAAAGACUUCUCCAACUCAAUUUAAUUUAGUCGAUACUUCAAGUUGAGCUCAUCAAGGAUAUAAUACCACUGUCUAAGGCCUUCAAAAAAUAAUACUUCUAUCUUCCUUAGGUAUUAUUCGAUUACUGGUAACCUGCUCAGUGCUAUUUCAUCAACGUACCUCUGUAUUUGAUUUUCGUCUGUCCAUUCAACUUCUACAUUUGAUUGUAUUAUCUUGAACUUUAUGUACAACUUA
Molecule: long non-coding RNA, 483 nt
Organism: Solanum pennellii
Lineage: Eukaryota; Viridiplantae; Streptophyta; Magnoliopsida; Solanales; Solanaceae
Exons: 2
Source: RefSeq, a predicted model, not a curated record